Clostridiales bacterium CHKCI006 is the source of this 123-nucleotide regulatory RNA element. It matches the Rfam family "pemK RNA". Lineage: Bacteria; Bacillati; Bacillota; Clostridia; Eubacteriales. The record is from Rfam.
AUAAUGGUACUUCCGUCCAGUCACAGGCCGAGCGUUGAAGCGGCUUUUUCUUGUUCUGCCGUGAGCCGUCGCAGCCAAUGAGGGCGGCCCCGUGAGAUCCACGGGGAGGUGAGAUUCCUAUGA